This 525-nucleotide ribosomal RNA is filed under the name Alternaria tenuissima. RNAcentral's name for it is "eukaryotic LSU rRNA". The stretch from base 152 to 305 matches the Rfam family "5.8S ribosomal RNA". Lineage: Eukaryota; Fungi; Ascomycota; Dothideomycetes; Pleosporales; Pleosporaceae. The record is from RNAcentral.
GCGGGCUGGACCUCUCGGGGUUACAGCCUUGCUGAAUUAUUCACCCUUGUCUUUUGCGUACUUCUUGUUUCCUUGGUGGGUUCGCCCACCACUAGGACAAACAUAAACCUUUUGUAAUUGCAAUCAGCGUCAGUAACAAAUUAAUAAUUACAACUUUCAACAACGGAUCUCUUGGUUCUGGCAUCGAUGAAGAACGCAGCGAAAUGCGAUAAGUAGUGUGAAUUGCAGAAUUCAGUGAAUCAUCGAAUCUUUGAACGCACAUUGCGCCCUUUGGUAUUCCAAAGGGCAUGCCUGUUCGAGCGUCAUUUGUACCCUCAAGCUUUGCUUGGUGUUGGGCGUCUUGUCUCUAGCUUUGCUGGAGACUCGCCUUAAAGUAAUUGGCAGCCGGCCUACUGGUUUCGGAGCGCAGCACAAGUCGCACUCUCUAUCAGCAAAGGUCUAGCAUCCAUUAAGCCUUUUUUUCAACUUUUGACCUCGGAUCAGGUAGGGAUACCCGCUGAACUUAAGCAUAUCAAUAAGCGGAGG